This 1390-nucleotide long non-coding RNA is filed under the name Hordeum vulgare. RNAcentral's name for it is "long non-coding RNA (HVUL_LNC019171)". Lineage: Eukaryota; Viridiplantae; Streptophyta; Magnoliopsida; Poales; Poaceae. The record is from RNAcentral.
ACUGGACGAUGGGGACUCCUUAAUUCAGUCGGAACUGACUAAGGGUCUUGUCCCUUAUGAGGGGUAGUCCUUGGGUAGGACUUACAGGGCAGGCCUAUGACCCUACCCUAGGACUAUAACCCCAUCAAGUAUAUAGGAAAGUCAAUACUAUUAAAAGGGGAUGAGGUAUCUAUGAUGAUAUGGUUGCUCAAGUGCUUAGAGAUUAGCCACCAAAAACCCUCAAGAAUUCUCCCACAAUAUAUUCUGUCAAAUUCCUAAAAGUCAAAUUCGGUGUCACCAACAUUUCCAAAUCGACCAUACCGAGUUUUCCUUAGACAAAGAUCCCAGAGCAAAACCCUAGCAACUUGGUGCUACCAAGUUCCAUCUCGGUACAACUGAAAUCCAGUGACCAACUCUCUGGUAUCUAAUUGACAAAAAUUGAAAUUUCCGAGUUUUUCAAUUCGGAGCCACCGAGUUAGUGAAACUGCCUAGGCCAACAGAAUCGGUCUCACCGAGAUGCUUUGUAUUGGUCUCACCAAGAUGCUUUGUAUUGGUCUCACCAAGAACCCAAAAGUAAAGCAUUUUGCACUAGUCGGUGGAACCGAGUUUUUACUUCGGUUCCACCGAGUUGGUCAAUAAUGUUGUACCGGUUGGCUUUUGGAGAUGACUAUAUAUACCCCUCCACCUCCCUCUCAUUCGUAGUGAGAGCACUCAGAAUAAGCAAACACUUAACGCCAUUCAUUUUCUGAGAGAAAACCACCUACUCAUGUGUUGAGAACAAGAUCUUCCACUCCAACCAUAUGAAUCUUGAUUUCUAGUCUUCCCAGGUUGCUUUCCACCCAAUCAAUCUCUUCUACCAAGUCAAAUCCUGUGAGAGAGUGAUUGAGUGUUGAGGAGACAAUCCUUUCAAGCACAAGAGCAAGGAGUUCAUCAUCCAUACCACAUCUAUUACCUUUUGAAGAGUGGUGUCUCCUAGAUUGGUUAGGUGUCUCUUGGGAGCCUCCUACUUCGUGUUGUGGAGUUGAAUCAAGAAGUUUGUAAGGGCAAGGAGAUCACCUACUUCGUGAAGAUUUACUCCGAGUGAGGCUAGUUCUUCGUGAAUGUAAGCCAUGGUGAAAUAGACCAGAUUGCUUCUUCGUGGACCUCUGGUGGGUGGAGCCCUCCGUGGACUCACACAGCCGUUACCCUCCGCGGGUUGAAGUCUUCAUCAACGUGGCAAAGCUUCAAGCUCCAAGACUAUACUUUAUAUUUAUGUGAGAAAUCACACUUGAGUAUAUAGGAAAGUCAAUACUAUUAAAAGGGGAUGAGGUAUCUAUGAUGAUAUGGUUGCUCAAGUGCUUAGAGAUUAGCCACCAAAAACCCUCAAGAAUUCUCCCAUAAUAUAUUCUGCCAAAUUCCUAAAAGUCAAAUU